GAUGAACGCUGGCGGCGUGCCUAAUACAUGCAAGUCGAGCGAACAGAUGAGAAGCUUGCUUCUCUGAUGUUAGCGGCGGACGGGUGAGUAACACGUGGGUAACCUACCUAUAAGACUGGGAUAACUCCGGGAAACCGGGGCUAAUACCGGAUAAUAUUUUGAACCGCAUGGUUCAAUAGUGAAGGACGGUUUCGGCUGUCACUUAUAGAUGGACCCGCGCCGUAUUAGCUAGUUGGUAAGGUAACGGCUUACCAAGGCGACGAUACGUAGCCGACCUGAGAGGGUGAUCGGCCACACUGGAACUGAGACACGGUCCAGACUCCUACGGGAGGCAGCAGUAGGGAAUCUUCCGCAAUGGGCGAAAGCCUGACGGAGCAACGCCGCGUGAGUGAUGAAGGUCUUCGGAUCGUAAAACUCUGUUGUUAGGGAAGAACAAAUUUGUUAGUAACUGAACAAGUCUUGACGGUACCUAACCAGAAAGCCACGGCUAACUACGUGCCAGCAGCCGCGGUAAUACGUAGGUGGCAAGCGUUAUCCGGAAUUAUUGGGCGUAAAGCGCGCGUAGGCGGUUUCUUAAGUCUGAUGUGAAAGCCCACGGCUCAACCGUGGAGGGUCAUUGGAAACUGGGAAACUUGAGUGCAGAAGAGGAGAGUGGAAUUCCAUGUGUAGCGGUGAAAUGCGCAGAGAUAUGGAGGAACACCAGUGGCGAAGGCGGCUCUCUGGUCUGUAACUGACGCUGAUGUGCGAAAGCGUGGGGAUCAAACAGGAUUAGAUACCCUGGUAGUCCACGCCGUAAACGAUGAGUGCUAAGUGUUAGGGGGUUUCCGCCCCUUAGUGCUGCAGCUAACGCAUUAAGCACUCCGCCUGGGGAGUACGACCGCAAGGUUGAAACUCAAAGGAAUUGACGGGGACCCGCACAAGCGGUGGAGCAUGUGGUUUAAUUCGAAGCAACGCGAAGAACCUUACCAAAUCUUGACAUCCUUUGACCGCUCUAGAGAUAGAGUCUUCCCCUUCGGGGGACAAAGUGACAGGUGGUGCAUGGUUGUCGUCAGCUCGUGUCGUGAGAUGUUGGGUUAAGUCCCGCAACGAGCGCAACCCUUAAGCUUAGUUGCCAUCAUUAAGUUGGGCACUCUAGGUUGACUGCCGGUGACAAACCGGAGGAAGGUGGGGAUGACGUCAAAUCAUCAUGCCCCUUAUGAUUUGGGCUACACACGCGCUACAAUGGAUAAUACAAAGGGCAGCGAAUCCGCGAGGCCAAGCAAAUCCCAUAAAAUUAUUCUCAGUUCGGAUUGUAGUCUGCAACUCGACUACAUGAAGCUGGAAUCGCUAGUAAUCGUAGAUCAGCAUGCUACGGUGAAUACGUUCCCGGGUCU
Molecule: ribosomal RNA, 1373 nt
Filed under: uncultured bacterium
Lineage: Bacteria
Description: bacterial SSU rRNA
Rfam family: Bacterial small subunit ribosomal RNA
Source: RNAcentral